UUCAGAUGGUCUGUCAGCUUUACAUACAAUGGUGGAGAGACAAUAGUGAUUCGGGUGUAUUUGGACAAUCAUCACUUUGCUGUAGGCAUGGAACAUCCAGGAGGAAAAAUAAAAGUAAUAAAAAUUUCCCAUUAGUUGAAAAGCAAAUGUUAUAGCUCAACUAUAGUUGGAGUUCGUUCUGUAUCAAAAAGAUGAUCAAUGUGCUAAAACGGAGGGUCAGUGAAAAAGUGGACAGAUAAAUACUUUUUUAAGAGUAUAUUUAUGAUAUUAAGCAUUUAUGUAAUGAAUUGGAUAGUUUGGUGUCUGUGUGUUUUUGUUGUUUGCUUUGUUGUUGUUUUUGGUUGUUUUUGUUACCCUAAAACUAUACAAUAUAUUCAGUACUUAUCUCUAUGUCCAUAACAUUUUGAAUGUUGUAUAUUUCAAUAUACAGAAACCAUUAUUGAUAAAAAAUAUUCCUUCCUAUGUGCCUUUAAAAACACAAUGUAUUAAUAUAUGAAAGUAAAAAAGAAAACAAUAAAUUCAGGUUCAUUUAAAUAAUUUGAUAAUUUGGUAAUAUGCUAAAGAAUACGAGAACGCAUUCAACGCCGCGAGUACAUAAUCGGAUCAUUGAAAUGUUUGGAUGUGCUAUUGUUACAAAUUAUGCACAUUUAUUGAAUUCGUCAUAUUAGUCCAUUCGUUUUGUUUAUCAAGUUUAUAUGUAUAUAUUUUUUGCCUGGUUAUAUCAUCAUAUAUGAUUCCUGAUAUUCGCCCAUACCUGUCCC
Molecule: long non-coding RNA, 761 nt
Organism: Ruditapes philippinarum (Manila clam)
Lineage: Eukaryota; Metazoa; Mollusca; Bivalvia; Venerida; Veneridae
Exons: 2
Source: RefSeq, a predicted model, not a curated record